CAGGAGCCCCUGAGACAAUAGGCCUCUAGAGCUGAAUAUGAAAAGUCAGAAAUGCUACUGCUUUUCCAAGAAUAUUAUAUCAUUCUUAAAGUGUUGCCAACUGACUGGCAAGUCAAUCUUAAGAGCGACCAGGAAGAUGUCCAUUGAAAUAGUCAUACACGAAAUGCCAAAGAUGCACCACGUAGAAUUUUCACUUUCUACUGACUGAAAGGCUUGUUUUACCUCAUUAGUUCUAGAAUAUUUAAGAAUCUAAAAAUAAAGGGCAACUCUGAUUUAACCUCUGCUUGAGUCAUUAUCUUAAGUAGCAUUUCGGGCUUUUACUAAAAAACAGAAGUAAAAUGAAAAGGUACACAAAGGUGUCCCGUGUCUGCCUGUGCUGAUUCAUGAAACUCGAUUACACCGAGGCCCUGUGGGAGCGUCCUCCUAACAGACGGAAGUUCAACGGGGCGGCCGGAUGGAAGCAGUCCUGAGAAGCAGGUGGGCUGGGCUCUCCACCGCCGUUUCUGAGGCACAGCUGUGGUCUCCUGCAACCUAGAGCUAAGAGGCAGAAACGCUGUCCCUACAGGAGGUGGGCCCACGAGGGCAGCAGGGCCGUCACGCCAGCACCCAUGUCUACUCUGGCAAGAGUCAUCAGAGAAUUCCAAAUUAGGUCCCAGCAAGGACCGUGGCUUGGACUGGACGAGAAACUGGCUAUCAGAUUUUUCAAACCCCCACCUUGGUGGUUUUAACAUGCAGCUAGGAUUGCAAUCAAGAGGCCGAGUAGGUAAGAUUCAUGUGUUCUCUUUUACUUUCUAAGGAGAGCAGGAGCCUGGGGUCAAGGCCCAGGGUCCUGGCCUGCUGCUGUGGUUGGAAACUGACACAUGGCAAUAAACAUGGCAUUCCCCUUGGCCUGUGUAAACUA
Non-coding RNA from Chlorocebus sabaeus (green monkey), 901 nucleotides. NCBI's taxonomy places the organism in Eukaryota, Metazoa, Chordata, Mammalia, Primates, Cercopithecidae. The record is from RefSeq and is a predicted model, not a curated record.